UGUUGCCUCGGCGGAUCAGCCCGCUCCCGGUAAAACGGGACGGCCCGCCAGAGGACCCCUAAACUCUGUUUCUAUAUGUAACUUCUGAGUAAAACCAUAAAUAAAUCAAAACUUUCAACAACGGAUCUCUUGGUUCUGGCAUCGAUGAAGAACGCAGCAAAAUGCGAUAAGUAAUGUGAAUUGCAGAAUUCAGUGAAUCAUCGAAUCUUUGAACGCACAUUGCGCCCGCCAGUAUUCUGGCGGGCAUGCCUGUUCGAGCGUCAUUUCAACCCUCAAGCACAGCUUGGUGUUGGGACUCGCGUUAAUUCGCGUUCCUCAAAUUGAUUGGCGGUCACGUCGAGCUUCCAUAGCGUAGUAGUAAAACCCUCGUUACUGGUAAUCGUCGCGGCCACGCCGUUAAACCCCAACUUCUGAAUGUUGACCUCGGAUCAGGUAGGAAUACCCGCUGAACUUAAGCAUA
Molecule: ribosomal RNA, 460 nt
Filed under: Fusarium oxysporum
Lineage: Eukaryota; Fungi; Ascomycota; Sordariomycetes; Hypocreales; Nectriaceae
Description: eukaryotic LSU rRNA
Rfam family: 5.8S ribosomal RNA (bases 110-263)
Source: RNAcentral